UUGAUUGAUUCAUCAAGUACUCCGACGUAUGGAUACAGAGUUGGAAUGGUCCAUCGGGGUGCCCGACGGCCGACGCGUCGGCGUCCGGGUCGCCCCCGAGGCAACAGGUCUUGGUCAACAAAGGGUUGGAGGUCGGGCCUGGGGCCCUCACUCGGUAAUGAUCCCUCCGCAGGUUCACCUACGGAGA
Molecule: unclassified non-coding RNA, 187 nt
Filed under: uncultured fungus
Lineage: Eukaryota; Fungi
Description: sequence contains ITS1
Source: RNAcentral